UCCUUAGAUGUUCUGGGCCGCACGCGCGCUACACUGAUGCAUUCAACGAGUCUAAAACCUGCUCUGAUAGGGGUGGGUAAUCUUUUGAAUGUGCAUCGUGAUUGGGAUAGAUGAUUGCAAUUUUUCAUCUUCAACGAGGAAUGCCUAGUAAACGCAAGUCAUCAGCUUGCAUUGAUUACGUCCCUGCCCUUUGUACACACCGCCCGUCGCUCCUACCGAUUGAAUGAUCCGAUGAAUAUCAUGGAUUGAGGAUGCAAGUAGGUUAGCCUAUCUUCAUCUUCGAGAAGUGAAGUAAAUCUUAUCAUUUAGAGGAAGGGGAAGUCGUAACA
RNAcentral lists this ribosomal RNA (329 nucleotides) under uncultured eukaryote. RNAcentral's name for it is "partial 18S ribosomal RNA". It matches the Rfam family "Eukaryotic small subunit ribosomal RNA", at positions 1470 to 1796 of the family's 1831-position model. The record is from RNAcentral.